Molecule: non-coding RNA, 200 nt
Organism: Biomphalaria pfeifferi
Lineage: Eukaryota; Metazoa; Mollusca; Gastropoda; Planorbidae
Source: the annotation of a GenBank genome assembly
CCAAUCCGCUUUUUUGCUUACAUAACAACGAAUUACGAAACAGACAUCAGAUAGUGUCACAUAGUAUAAUUUAUAAUCACUAGAUUCUCUAGAUCUAAGUAGAAUCUAAAGCUACAUCUAGAUCUAGCUUUGAAACAAAAGGAAAUAUAUCUGGUAGUUUUGGAAUCUUGAUCAACCUAGCAUAUUUCAUUAUUUCUAAG